This 73-nucleotide transfer RNA is filed under the name Bos taurus (domestic cattle). It matches the Rfam family "tRNA". Rfam says of the family: Transfer RNA (tRNA) molecules are approximately 80 nucleotides in length. Their secondary structure includes four short double-helical elements and three loops (D, anti-codon, and T loops). RNAcentral also lists the same sequence under 5 other names. The record is from Rfam by way of RNAcentral. Lineage: Eukaryota; Metazoa; Chordata; Mammalia; Artiodactyla; Bovidae.
UCCCUAGAAGUCCACAGGUUAGGACUCUGCACUUUCACUGCCUAAGGCCUGGGUUCAAUCCCCGGUCAGGGAA